Pteropus alecto (black flying fox) is the source of this 2207-nucleotide long non-coding RNA. RefSeq lists it as uncharacterized. The record is from RefSeq and is a predicted model, not a curated record. Lineage: Eukaryota; Metazoa; Chordata; Mammalia; Chiroptera; Pteropodidae. The transcript is spliced from 3 exons.
UCUCAAACUGGUAAGCAUUUUCAUUGGAGAAAGUUCUUAUAAUUUAGUUAAGAACAGGGAUAUAGAUGGUAACUUUUUGAACUUGAACUGUCUAGAGAAAGGGCUUUCUAACACAGUUGAUAAAUAGACUGAAAAUAGAAGCAAAUCAUAGAGCCCAGUUCUUUAUUUUAGCUAGCUAAAUAAACAAUGUUGGGGGUGGGGCAUUUUCUAGAAUCUAUUUUACUUUUCAUUACUAACCUUACUAGUGUUGAUAUGUGCACUUUUAUCAACUAGCAUGCAGUUAACAGUAUGAAACUGAACAUGAUUCAUUUGAUGUUUUCAAAGGUAGAAACUAACUUUGUAGCUUUUUUUCCCCUUUUGAAUACAACACUGCUGAGGUAAAGAAUGUUGUAGCUUGUGGGUGAGCUCAAUAGGGCCAAUUAUAACCUGACUACUCUUCCACCAUGUUGAAAUAUCUGACAGAACUUACUGUGUCCUUGGAUAAUGGCAUUUUUUCUUCUUCUUAGCAGACAUCUAAUUGAGGAGAUUUCCUGUUUCGUAGUCAAGGAAAGAUGAAAACAAAAGUACCACACUGUUGCUUCUGACCAAGGUCACCACAUUAAUCCCUGAUAAUUGGAGAGGGAUGAGAAUCUUCACAAACACCAGAAGGUUGAACAGCCUUUCCUACAUUUGACAACUGAAAUGGAAGCAUCUUGUGGAAGACACCCACCUCAAGUUGUAGGCACUCACCCAUUCGCACACCAUUGUUCAGUUAUAUCCUAGAUUAAAACAUCAACUUUGGUUUGACAACUGCACGGUGGCAUCUUUUUCGCCUGUGUAGGUAAAUUAGAACAAUCCAAUAGCAGGUAUAGGUGAAAAGUUUCUCCUUAUUUCCAAUGGUAGGUAUAGGAGUCCCCAACAUUGUACAAUACUUUCAGGGAGUUGUCUUUCACAGGGAUAUUUACAUCCCCUUCUGAUGUACUGGCACCUUCCAGUUUAGCAGGAUAUUUUUUAUUGCCCUCUGCAAAAACAUCACACAGAAGAAAGGCUAGCUUGUGGUCAUUCUGCCAAUUCAUAUUUUUAUUGCAAUUCACAGCAUUCAAAUAAUUUUCUCAUAUAUUAUCACAAUGAUUCUGGGAGGUACUAAAAGCUAGUUCCGCAAAUAUCACCAACACAUGAAAAGACAAAACUGGAAUUGUCUAAGAGGGGUGAAAGUAAGGUCAGAAUUUAUUGAGAAUUGGAAGUUUGGUUUGAGGCAAGUUUUUCGAUGCAGGGCGACUUGAUUAGGAUUAGAUAAGAAUCACCAUAUGUUCAGGAUUGGUAAAAACAGCAAGAUGAAGAUUUUGAGAUAAGAGAUUCAAGGAAUAUUAAGGUAUAAAUUGUCUAUCGAUAUUUUCCACUGAAGAGUUGAUGGUUCUGUUGGUAAGGUCCUAUAAUAAACAACCAAACCAUUUGCUUGGGAAGGACAGUCCUGGUAAUACUAAUUAGUAAUUAGUAAUACCAGCAAAGACAGUGGACACAGAAAAAUGGCAUGAUGAUAGAGGCUCUGUUUAUCCCUCUGGUGACCAAAUUAAAGUUGUGACAGAAACAAGGAGCAAACAGCAAGGAAAAUUGCUUGGAAUCUAUAUGAACAAGCCAUGCAACUAGGGAGAAAUAUAAGAAAUCACCCUGCAAUGGCAGAAGGUAGGAUGGGGUGAGGAUGCGAGGCUGCCAGUCCUGAGCGAGUGAGUGGGACAGAGGCUAUAGCAGCGGCAGCCAACAGCUGCAGAUGCCUCUUAAAGGGGCUGUGUCCGUGAGCAGACUUUCUUGUUGAGAGACCUACUUGCUCUAGCACCAGCACUAGUUCGGCUGUGCAGGGGGCAUCAGGCACUUACAGGGGGACACUGAGUUGUCAGAGCGACGGCAAAGGGGAGAUUUGCUCUGUAUAGAAGUGCUGCAGGUAUCCAUUGCUCCUCUGUUGAGCCCUCCCCCUUCCCAGUGCCUGGACUGAGCACUGCCAUAGUGGAGAUGUCAUCAAACUGGAUGAGAGGUCACUCUGCCCAGAGGAUUCCUUGAAACUCCGCCUCCCCCAACUUGCAGCCCCACCCAUGCCACAUCCAGGUGUGCCCUCGCUUAGUCAGGUGCCCCUUGCUAAACAGCGCCUAGAAUCACACUGGUGGCAACUGGCCUCGGUUUGAGGCAACUAUAAGCACAACAUCUAUGGAUGCUUGCUGAAUCUUAACAGGUGG